GACGAACGCUGGCGGCGUGCCUAAUACAUGCAAGUCGAACGCAGUGGGGACGGGUGAGUAACACGUUGGUAACCUCCCAUCAGAGGGGAUAACACUUGGAAACAGGUGCUAAACCGAUACUGAUGGAUGAACCCGCGGUGCAUUAGCAAGUUGGUGAGGUAACGGCUCACCAAGGCCACGAUGCAUAGCCGACCGGAGAGGGUGAUCGGCCACACGGGGACGAAGACACGGCCCAGACGCAUACGGGAGGCAGCAGUAGGGAAUCUUCGGCAAUGGGCGGAAGUCUGACCGAGCAACGCCGCGUGAGUGAAGAAGGGUUUCGGAUCGUAAAACUCUGUUGUUAGAGAAGCGGUAUCUAAACAAAAAGCCACGGCUAACUACGUGCCAGCAGCCGCGGUAAUUC
Molecule: ribosomal RNA, 403 nt
Filed under: uncultured bacterium
Lineage: Bacteria
Description: partial 16S ribosomal RNA
Rfam family: Bacterial small subunit ribosomal RNA
Source: RNAcentral